GAAAGAAGAGACCACAAAGUCAUGUUUUUAUUAAAAAAAAAAACAGUCCUGAAUAAUCCUUUCCACGAGAAAGAAGAGACCAGAAAGUGCUGUCUUUAAAAAAAAAAACAAAAGGUCUCUUCGUCCAAAUCGACGAUUCUGGAAACACCGAAGAAAAUUAUCAAUCUUACAGAUCGUAUCAAGAAGGUCAAACGGUUAAGGAUGGAUGGAGAAGAUAAAGGAUCAAAGCUUCUGAUUUUGAUCUUUCAAACGUGCCUCCGCUUGACAAUCGAAAAGGACAACAAUUGUAGAUUAGAGAUCCAGGAACAUCGUUUUGCGGAUCAAAGUUAUUAGGGUUCUUUGAAUCAGCUUUGCGGAUAAAAGAUGGUUGAGUUCGUUUAUGGUCUCAUAAAGCAUCUGACUCAUACUUUAUCACAGAUCGACACUACAAUUACAAAGGAGAUAAAUUUUUACUAUUACAAAGAGUCUAAUUUGAGAGAAUUUCUAGCUACCGUCCAUAGACACUGCUAUUCCCUUUCCAUGUCAGGAGUUGGCAAGGUGUGCUAAAGGAUGAAGAUACGUGUAUUUUUUACACAAUACUCUACAUUCAGUAAUCCAGUAGGGUGGAAAGCGUUUCCAGAGCACCUUUUUUUAAUGAUGAAGAUAAGUUAUUGUUUUGUUCAAGUAUCUUAAACACUCGAUGUUAGUAAACAGUAUGUAAAAGACUUAUAGAUAAGUACUUCAACUUAGAUGUUCCUCUUUGCUAUAUACAGGAAUUAUCUCGCAAUAUGCUACAAAUACAACUUCUUUGCUGGGAUGAUAUGACACAAAGUAUGUAGUGAUGGACAUUGGACUCAGAUCGUUCACAGAGGAUAAAACACAAAGGAACAUCUUGUGGAGGAGGGAUAGAUGUAGAGCGUUUCAGAGACCCGCCCAAAUCCUUUUUCAUAGUUAGGAUGUAUGGCUAAACUUCAAUAUAAAAGAGGAGCAGCAAGACAUGAUACGCACACAAAAGGGACUUGGUUCUUUUCCACAAAAUAUCUUUGAGACCCCAAACUUUCAUGGCUUCGAUUUUUUCAAGUCCAGAAGAAUCGUUGUUUUCAUCAACUGAAAUGCCAAAUCCAUAAGAUUUACCAACGAUUUCCACAAUCUCAGGUAGCUUCUAGAAAAAGUAAUAUAUCACCUUCUCCAAUAAGCCUUUCACGACUUUUGCUGCCGAAAUUUUCACAAUAGAUGUUGCAACAGAGUCUAGAAGAGUGAAUUUUGUCUCACCGGUCUGAUCCUGCACAAGCAAUUCUAACUUGUACCUGGAUAUAAAGGAUCAGCAGAAUAUUUAUAUAAUGACAAUACGUUAUAAUUAAUUAUAUGUUAUGUAAGGUUUAAAAGAAAAAAUAUAACCUUGGUGUAACCUUUGUAACAAUACGCUGACAAAAUUCACACCACCAGCUUGGCACCUCUGGUUCAUCAAAUAAAAUAGUUGGUUUGAUAACCUUAUUUUGGCAGUCAGCACAAGCAUAAUAAUACCAUCCAUUAAUGGUAUCAACAGCAUAAACAGAACAAAUAACUCUGUAAUUUCCACCCUACAAACAACACAAAAUAAGGUUAUAAAAUUGAUAAUAAAUAAUAAAUGAUAUUUCAUAAUGAAGCAAACCUUAUCACAGUAUUUCAUCUCUUGAAUUGUUCUGAAUGGAUAUUGCGACCAUUUCUGGCGCUUCUCAUGGAUCACAAUCUUCUCAUUUAUAUGUUGACACAUUUCAACGGUGGUAGCAUCACCCUGAAACCUAAAAGAAAAUACAGCAACAAUCAAAUGGUGUAAUGCAGUAAAUACUGAAUUUUAUAAUAGAAUUAACUCACUUCUGUCUAAGUGCUUUAGCUUCUUUGAUAUCUGGAUUGAUCAACACCAAUGUAGAAUCAAAUGCAUUGGUUACUUUCCACUCUCCUGAAAGUCAAAUAAAACAUAUAUAAAAACGUUUUAACAAAGAGCUAACCAGACGCCAACUAUAGGAAUGUAAAUAAAAAUAAAUAAUAUCUUUAUACCUUUGUAGUUAAAGACUCUAGCAAAUCUGAUUAAACAUAUAUCUCCACUGUUGGAUUGUUUGACUUUUUGGGAAAAGAUCUCAGCUGAUUUACCGGUAAUGCAACAUUGGAUGCGUUGGUUUCUAAUAUUUUAGUUUAAAAAAAAAAUUAGAUUUAACAAUAAUAGAUAACAUAAUGUUUAAACUAAAGUAACUAAACUUACUUGAUAUCUCUUAGAUUAAACUCCACUUUGGUCACUUCUUUUCUUUCAAAUUUAACAAUAUUUUGACCACGAAAGUCUAAGACUUCGCCAAUCACAUCUGUUAUGGAAAAAGAUUUGUUAUUUUACAGUUAAUAUAAAUAGACAAAAUUCAAAAAAAUCAAGUGCGACAACAAAAUAUAACUUACCAAUAAGAAAACGCUCAUCACAGAAACCAUUUUUAAUGUUGUCAAAAUCAUGUAGAUGGAUGAACAUAUUGUUGCAUGUGAGAUUACCAUCGGUAAUUGAAGUUUGCUCCAUGAACUCCAUUUUGUAAACAUGGUUGGUAGGUCGGUUAAGUCCAGAUGCUGGACGUAAUGUAAAGUUAGUAAUAACUUUCCAUUCUCCAACACCACAUUGUCUCUCCACUCGUUGAAGUAGUUCUUGUUUGCAACUGGCAUGGAUUUUGACACCCUAACACAUGUAAACAAAAAAUAUCUUUAAUAAUUAAUAUUUUCAAAAAUACAACAGUAUAAUAAUAGAGUGUUUGACUAUAUUUUCUCACAUUUAUGUCUGUUAACACCAUCUCAAGAGAAGAACCAAAUUGGUGACUGAAUGAAAUCCACGUAUGAAGCACUUUCACCAAAACACUCCAUGCAAAUUUGAUGGGAGAAACAUCGCUUAAACUGCUGAUUUUGAAAAUGGUAUCCAUAAGAGAAUAUCACGUUAGAGAGCUCGGAUAUUUUGAAUGGUUACAUUCUGUUGUGUUUUGAGGUGAUAUUUAUAUAGCUGAAUAAUAAGCUAAAUUUCAAGAAUCGUAACCAUAUUAAAUUAGUUAACAGUUUGGAAUAUUCUAGAGAUAUAAAACAUUCUGAGAUCUCUUUAAGUUACAACAAAAAUAUAUUAUUCUAGAAAAUCGUUUAUAAAGUUGUUUAACUGUCUUUAGAUAUGAUAUUUUAAUUAGUUUGGAUUAGAUACCACUACACCUCCACAUAUUUUCCUAGUUUGUCGUUGUAAAGUUGUUAAGUUUAGAUAAGAUAUUUUAAUUUAGUUUGGAUUUCACACCAGUGUUGCUUAGAUAUGGUGUACAAUACAAAACGUUUUAAACAUAUAACAAUCAAGAGAUUGUUAUCUAUUUUAAAAUUUGUGACUAAGUGACAUAUAUAUGUUUACAAAAAAAGAAUAUAUGAAAAAAUAGUUGCAUCGACGAUUUAGUUUGUAUAUGUGUGAAGAUAUGUUAACAAUCUCAUAAAUAUAUAAUCCAUAUUAUUAUUGAAAAGAUUUUUAAAAAUUUGUGUGUAUAUGAUCGUUUCUACUACCAUGGUCACGUGAAAGUUAAAAACAUAUUUCUAAGCAUAUUUAACAAAAAAAGAAAAAUGUUACAUCCAACUAAUUGUAAAUCCAUGAUCAUAUAAUAAUAAAUUUAUUUUUAUUAAAAAGAGAACAAAUUAUAAGUUUAUGAUUCAAAAGCUCACUUUUAUUUCUAAA
Brassica napus (rape) is the source of this 3682-nucleotide long non-coding RNA. RefSeq lists it as uncharacterized. The record is from RefSeq and is a predicted model, not a curated record. Lineage: Eukaryota; Viridiplantae; Streptophyta; Magnoliopsida; Brassicales; Brassicaceae. The transcript has 9 exons.